This is a non-coding RNA of Miniopterus natalensis, 2917 nucleotides long. NCBI's taxonomy places the organism in Eukaryota, Metazoa, Chordata, Mammalia, Chiroptera, Miniopteridae. The record is from RefSeq and is a predicted model, not a curated record.
ACUGGUCAGGGCUCCUCCUUGUUUUUUAAAUAUAUUUUCUGAGUUAUUUUUUUAGUGGUUGCCUUCUCUAGCUGUACCAAUUAACAUCUUAAUUUAUAACAAUUAGUUCAAUUAAUACCAAUUUAAUUUAAAUAAUAUAUAAAAUCUUUUUUCUGUAUUGUUCCAUUUUCUCUUUUUGUUGUGAUUGUCACAAAUUAUUCUUUUAUACAUAUAUACUCAUGACCCUAGACUUACAAUUAUUUUGAUGCAGUUAUUUAAAAAUAUGAAAGGGAAAGUUAUAUAACUAUUUUUUUCUUGAUUAACCUAUGCUUUGGUUGCAGCCACUUCUUGGUCAGUUUCCGUAUUUCCAAAGUUGAUUCUUCAAGCUUUUCCCUGUUGUUGUUUUGUUUUGUUUUUUGUUAUUUAUGUUUUAUGGAGGAACAUAUUUUUGGAUUUGUUCUUACACUGCCACAUCACCAAUGUCACUUUUCAUUUCUUAUUUCCCAGUCACUAAUGAUGUUCAGCAUAUUUUAAUGUGUUUGUCACUUGUAUGUCUUCAUUGGGAAAAUGUCUGUUAAAAUAAUUUCAAGUUUUUAAUUGGGUUAUUUGUCCCCUUGAGUUGAAAGAGUUCAUUAUAUGUUAUGAAAAAAGUUUUUUCAGAGAGAUAAUUUGAAUCUGCGACUUGUAUUUUGCCUACAUAAACGGUGUGCAUAAGACACAUAAUACAUAUAAAUAUUGAUAAAGUAAACUUAUGUAUAUUUUUGUUAAUUCUUUGAGCAGUGGAUAUUUAUUGUUUCUAUUCUUACUGUUUUCAAGAUGAACUAUGUUAGUUUAUCCUUUGUAAUGUAGACAUGACAAGGAAUGGAUCAUGUGUUGAAUCACACAUGUUGUGAUUGAUAAAAAUUAAAAUGGUUAGGGCUGUACUCCUUAAAGAUACCUCAAAAUAUUAUGUGCACAUAAUAUUUGAGUCUACUUAGUAAAGGUUUUGUGUUCCAGUCAAGAAGAUGUUAUUUUGACAAAUUAUGCUUGAAUUUCCUUAGAAAUCACUGUACGGAACGAAGCCCACAGGGGGAGGAACUCCAAGAUUGCUGAAUUGGCAUAUGCCCUAUUCCCGCCAGGGCUGGCCAUGGGACAUGAACUAUGUGAAACAGCAAUGGGCACACUUAUGGUAUUACUUUUGACUGAUCCUUGCACGGCCUACCCUGAAGUAAGUUUCUCAAGCAUACAUGCUUUUUCUAAACUGGUCUGAUGAACAUGCUAUGCAAGGCUCUCCAUUGGCCAAGAGAAGAAGACCUUCCUCUUCUUUGAUGACCACAGAUGUGUGGGACUCCUGGAAAAACUAUGGGCCUGGGUUUGCACCAUGCUCUUGAAUUGAUCCUGAAGUAAGCAUUCAUCUGCCCCAAGUUCUGCCAUUUGCUUGAAGACUUCAUAGACCCACUAUAGAGAACUCAAGGUGUGUCUCUAAUGGCACGCGAGUGUUCACUCUCACAGUGGAUGGACAGUUACACCUGCUCAGUGGUUGGGUCUGGAUCCUCAGGCUUCUGAAGAGCAUGGAGACCUGCUGAGCCUACCCUCCUGACUGUGCCUGCAUCACGGACUGAAUCCAGAUUGAGAACAACUCCCUCCUACGCCUGAGAGUCAUGAUGGAGUGGCCACGUAAGGCUCGCAAUCAACGAUGAAGAAACUGUUUCUCUCCUUUAACGACCAGAGGUGUGCUGGAUCCUGGAGGAAGUGUGUCCUGGGUGUGCACCAUGCUUGUCUAUUUCUCAGGAAGGUGGCGUGGCCAUGCAGGGCUCACCAUCGGCUAUGAAGAGACAACCUACCUUUCCUUUGAUGGUGGGCAGUACACUGGAAUCCUGGAAAAAGCGUGUCCCUUGGUGCGCACCAUGCCUGUGGAUUGCUCAGGAAGAUGGAGUGGCCAUGCAGGAUCAUCAUCAGCAACGAAGAGACAACAUUCUUUUCCUUUGAUGACCAGAGGUGUCCGAGAGUCCAGGAAGACGUGUCCCUGGGUGUACACCAGCCUGUGGCUCGCUCAGGAAGGUGGAGUGGCAAUGCAAGGCUCGCCAUCAGCAAUGAGAUGACCUACUUUUCCUUGGAUGACUGGAGGUGUGCAGGAGUCCCGGAACACGUGUUCCUGGGUGUGCAUGAUACCCAUGGAUCGCUUAGGAAGGUAGAGCUGCAUUGCAAGGUUCUUCAUCAGCCAAGAAAAGAAGACAUUUCUCUGCCUGGAUGACCUGAGAUUCAUGGGAGUCCAAUAGGAAGUGUGGCCCUGAGUGUGCACCAUGCCUCAGGAUCACUCAGGAAGAUGGAGUGGCUGUGCAAGGCUCCCCAUCAACCAUGAAGAGCUGACCUUCCUUUCCUUUGAUGACCAGAGGUGUCGGGGAGCCCUGGAAGACGUGUGUCCCUGGGUGCACACCAUGCCUGUGGAUUGCUCAGCAAGGUGGAGUGGCCAUGCAAGGUUUUCCAUCAGCCAUGAAAAAUCAACCUUCCUUUCCUUUGAUGACUGGAGGUGUGUGGGAGGCCUGUUAGACGUGUGUCCCUGGGUGUGCACCCUGCCUGUGGAUGGCUGAAGAAGGUGGAGUGGCCGUGCAAGGCUCGCCAUCCCCCAUGAAGAUGACCUUCCUUUCCUUUGAUGACUGGAGGUGUGUGGGAGGCCUGUUAGACAUGUGUCCCUGGGUGUGCACCCUGCCUGUGGAUGGCUCAAGAAGGUAAGCUUUCCUCUGCCCCAAGUUCUAACAUUUGGUUGAGGAUGUCACAGGCUGAUGCAGACAGCCUUUCCACAUGUCCCCAGUGUUGUCCUGGGCUUUGAUCUAGAGUGGAGUGACUGUUCCUCUUACCCAGUUUUUUGUAUAUAGUUAAUGUAAACAACUGGAGAACUUUGAGGUCAUUGGCUCACUAGAUGAGCCUCCACCCUGCCAGGCCAAAAUAUUCUGCUUCC